AGAACUUAGCAGAGAUGCUUUGGUGCCUUCGGGAACUCUGAGACAGGUGCUGCAUGGCUGUCGUCAGCUCGUGUUGUGAAAUGUUGGGUUAAGUCCCGCAACGAGCGCAACCCUUAUCCUUUGUUGCCAGCGGUUAGGCCGGGAACUCAAAGGAGACUGCCAGUGAUAAACUGGAGGAAGGUGGGGAUGACGUCAAGUCAUCAUGGCCCUUACGAGUAGGGCUACACACGUGCUACAAUGGCGCAUACAAAGAGAAGCGACCUCGCGAGAGCAAGCGGACCUCAUAAAAGUGCGUCGUAGUCCGGAUUGGAGUCUGCAACUCGACUCCAUGAAGUCGGAAUCGCUAGUAAUCGUGGAUCAGAAUGCCACGGUGAAUACGUUCCCGGGCCUUGUACACACCGCCCGUCACACCAUGGGAGUGGGUUGCAAAAGAAGUAGGUAGCUUAACCUUCGGGAGGGCGCUUACCACUUUGUGAUUCAUGACUGGGGUGAAGUCGUAACAAGGUAAGCGUAGAUGA
This 518-nucleotide ribosomal RNA is filed under the name uncultured bacterium. RNAcentral's name for it is "bacterial SSU rRNA". It matches the Rfam family "Bacterial small subunit ribosomal RNA", at positions 992 to 1509 of the family's 1533-position model. The record is from RNAcentral.